This is a long non-coding RNA of Mastomys coucha (southern multimammate mouse), 402 nucleotides long. RefSeq lists it as uncharacterized. The record is from RefSeq and is a predicted model, not a curated record. The transcript is spliced from 2 exons. NCBI's taxonomy places the organism in Eukaryota, Metazoa, Chordata, Mammalia, Rodentia, Muridae.
GCAGUGAGCCUUGGUGGGCCCGAUCACCAAAUGCUUUGAGCAGAAGGGGUUCUGCCUGGUGGCCAUGAAGUUCCUUCGUGCUUCUGAAGAAUACCUGAAGCAACAUUGCACUGACCUGAAAAACUGUCUUUUUUCCUCUGCAUCUGUGAGUAUAUGUGCAGAAGAAUGCAUGUAACUCUGUGGCAUUAUGAAAUCUCACAGCGUCUAACCCUCAGAUCAUCACAUCAAGCUCCUCAGAAGACCCCUGCUUCUGCUUAGUCAUUGUCAACCACAGAACGACAACAUCUGGAAUUUUAUACAGCUGAUAGAAUUUUCUUUUAUCCUUCUCAAAGCUAAGUGUGUUAAAGGGGUUCUAAGCUCAAAUAAUUCCCCUUAUCAAAUAAAGCUAAGUUUCUCAACCUA